GCAUAUCAAUAAGCGGAGGAAAAGAAACCAACAGGGAUUGCCCUAGUAACGGCGAGUGAAGCGGCAACAGCUCAAAUUUGAAAUCUGGCCCUCGGGUCCGAGUUGUAAUUUGUAGAGGAUGCUUUUGGUGCGGUGCCUUCCGAGUUCCCUGGAACGGGACGCCAUAGAGGGUGAGAGCCCCGUCUGGUUGGACACCAAGCCUCUGUAAAGCUCCUUCGACGAGUCGAGUAGUUUGGGAAUGCUGCUCUAAAUGGGAGGUAUAUGUCUUCUAAAGCUAAAUACCGGCCAGAGACCGAUAGCGCACAAGUAGAGUGAUCGAAAGAUGAAAAGCACUUUGAAAAGAGGGUUAAAUAGUACGUGAAAUUGUUGAAAGGGAAGCGCUUAUGACCAGACUUGAGCCCGGUUAAUCAUCCAGCCUUCUGGCUGGUGCACUUGGCCGGCUCAGGCCAGCAUCAGUUCGGCGCGGGGGAUAAAGGCUUCGGGAAUGUGGCUCCUCCGGGAGUGUUAUAGCCCGUUGCGCAAUACCCUGCGCUGGACUGAGGUUCGCGCAUCUGCAAGGAUGCUGGCGUAAUGGUCAUCAGCGACCCGUCUUGAAACACGGACC
RNAcentral lists this ribosomal RNA (604 nucleotides) under Nectriaceae sp. JCM 28359. RNAcentral describes it as "eukaryotic LSU rRNA". It matches the Rfam family "Eukaryotic large subunit ribosomal RNA", at positions 38 to 667 of the family's 3401-position model. Lineage: Eukaryota; Fungi; Ascomycota; Sordariomycetes; Hypocreales; Nectriaceae. The record is from RNAcentral. RNAcentral also lists the same sequence under 1 other name.